Molecule: long non-coding RNA, 258 nt
Filed under: Prunus persica (peach)
Lineage: Eukaryota; Viridiplantae; Streptophyta; Magnoliopsida; Rosales; Rosaceae
Description: long non-coding RNA (PPER_LNC000332)
Source: RNAcentral
UAGAAUUCCUAAGGAUCAAUCAUAAUGAUCUUUAUUAAGGAUAAAUUAUAACCUAAUGGAUCGGACACCGUUAAACUUGAUUUUUGGAAAAGACAUAAGGAUAAAUUAAGGAAACUAAUUAAGCUUAGGGCCAGUUUGGCAUUGUUGUGCUGUGAAAAUAAUCGUUGUUAGAUUUGCUGUGAGAGAAAUUAGUUGUGAGAGAAAGCUGUUUGGCGUUUGGUAAACUUUUUGUUAAAUGUGUUGUUGGUACUAAUUCCC